GUGCCUAACACAUGCAAGUCGAACGAGAAAGUCCCGCAAGGGAUGAGUACAGUGGCGACCGGGUGAGUAACACGUGGACAACCUGCCACCGAGUGGGGAAUAACCCUGGGAAACCGGGGCUAAUACCGCAUAACACUUUUGAACUUCGGUUUGGGAGUUAAAAUCCGCAAGGAGCUUGGUGAGGGGUCCGCGGCCGAUUAGCUAGUUGGUGAGGUAACGGCCCACCAAGGCGAUGAUCGGUAGCCGGCCUGAGAGGGCGGACGGCCACACUGGAACUGAAACACGGUCCAG
Molecule: ribosomal RNA, 291 nt
Filed under: uncultured bacterium
Lineage: Bacteria
Description: partial 16S ribosomal RNA
Rfam family: Bacterial small subunit ribosomal RNA
Source: RNAcentral